This is a long non-coding RNA of Nematostella vectensis (starlet sea anemone), 108 nucleotides long. RefSeq lists it as uncharacterized. NCBI's taxonomy places the organism in Eukaryota, Metazoa, Cnidaria, Anthozoa, Actiniaria, Edwardsiidae. The record is from RefSeq and is a predicted model, not a curated record. The transcript has 2 exons.
AGCUUACUUGGAGUUGUAUUUCUUUAAGCCCCGGAGACGAGAUCAGACUUAUCACCGCAUGUGUUCGAUAGUUGGACGAGUUGAUUGUAAUAAACGCUGUUAAAUCAA